GACGAACGCUGGCGGCGUGCCUAAUACAUGCAAGUAGAACGCUGAAGGAGGAGCUUGCUCUUCUGGAUGAGUUGCGAACGGGUGAGUAACGCGUAGGUAACCUGCCUGGUAGCGGGGGAUAACUAUUGGAAACGAUAGCUAAUACCGCAUAAGAGUAGAUGUCGCAUGACAUUUGCUUAAAAGGUGCAAUUGCAUCACUACCAGAUGGACCUGCGUUGUAUUAGCUAGUUGGUGAGGUAACGGCUCACCAAGGCAACGAUACAUAGCCGACCUGAGAGGGUGAUCGGCCACACUGGGACUGAGACACGGCCCAGACUCCUACGGGAGGCAGCAGUAGGGAAUCUUCGGCAAUGGACGGAAGUCUGACCGAGCAACGCCGCGUGAGUGAAGAAGGUUUUCGGAUCGUAAAGCUCUGUUGUAAGAGAAGAACGAGUGUGAGAGUGGAAAGUUCACACUGUGACGUAUCUACCAGAAAGGC
Molecule: ribosomal RNA, 478 nt
Filed under: Streptococcus mitis
Lineage: Bacteria; Bacillati; Bacillota; Bacilli; Lactobacillales; Streptococcaceae
Description: bacterial SSU rRNA
Rfam family: Bacterial small subunit ribosomal RNA
Source: RNAcentral